UACGUAGGCAGCGAGCGUUGUUCGGAGUUACUGGGCGUAAAGAGUGCGUAGGCGGUUUCGUAAGUUUGGUGUGAAAUCUCCCGGCUUAACUGGGAGGGUGCGCCGAAAACUGCGGGCUUUGAGAGUGGAGAGGUAAGCGGAAUUCCUGGUGUAGCGGUGAAAUGCGUAGAUAUCGGGAGGAAUACCGAUGGCGAAGGCGGCUACCUGGACCAGCACUGACACUCAGGCACGAAAGCGUGGGAGCAAACAGG
This 251-nucleotide ribosomal RNA is filed under the name uncultured bacterium. Its description in RNAcentral is "partial 16S ribosomal RNA". It matches the Rfam family "Bacterial small subunit ribosomal RNA", at positions 524 to 776 of the family's 1533-position model. The record is from RNAcentral.